AUCUAUUAGAUUGGUGCAAAAGUAAUUGCGGUUUUUGCCAUUACCUUCAAUGGUAAAAACUGCAAUUACUUUUGCACCAACCUAAUA
This 87-nucleotide microRNA precursor is filed under the name Gorilla gorilla gorilla (western lowland gorilla). RNAcentral describes it as "miRNA (ENSGGOG00000040842.1)". It matches the Rfam family "mir-548 microRNA precursor family". The record is from RNAcentral. Lineage: Eukaryota; Metazoa; Chordata; Mammalia; Primates; Hominidae.